This 1122-nucleotide unclassified non-coding RNA is filed under the name Stegodyphus dumicola. RNAcentral describes it as "kielin/chordin-like protein, transcript variant X4". The record is from RNAcentral. Lineage: Eukaryota; Metazoa; Arthropoda; Arachnida; Araneae; Eresidae.
UUAAGUAGGAAGAAAAACAGGUUAUAGAAAAGCUUUCUCUUUCGAGAUAGGUAUGCAUAGACAGGGCUGCGUCUGGAUACUUUUCUCUUCGUCUCACGUAGAAAGUUGUACUCCGUGACGGCAUACCAUAAACUAAAUACUAAGAAGGCAUUGCAACGAAGCGCUCUUCUUGUCACAGCUAUGGACAGACACUCCUGCAUUUGGAUAUUCGCUUUUCUCCGGAUUUCAUGUGUAUUUGCAGGAAGCUGCGAAUGGCGUUACUAUGAGCACUACAAACAAAAACGUUGCGAACCUAUACUUGGAGAACAAGGAUGUCCUAUAAGGUUCGAAUGCCCACCUUUGUCUGACGAAACUAACAAAACGUGUUUUCACAACGGCAAAAGCUACAACGACGAGGAAGUCAUCAAAGAUGCCGGGCCCUGUGCUAGCUGUUCAUGUGUAGUAGAUAGCGUCAAUGGUGGUUAUAUAGCUUGCUGGCCGGUGGACUGUCCGAUGUUGGAAACUCGCAAAAAACAUUGCUAUAUGGGUUAUAAACCUGGAAGUUGCUGUCCUGAAGAAAUAUGUCAUAAAACUUGCGAGCACAAUGGAAUUACGUACGAGCUUGGAGAAAUCAUUAAAACUAAAGAUCCUUGUCAACGCUGCAUCUGCACAAUCAAAUGGGAAGGAGAAUAUGGAUACGGAUGUGAAAAGACCAAAUGCCUAAAUGGCAUAAAUGCUUAUAAAAUAAGAAAAGGAUGUUUGCCUAUCUAUGAAGAAGAUGUAUGUUGUAUGAUCGAUAUGCAUUGCGAUGGUAUCCACGGUGCAGAACCUGUUGCCUUCCCAAAGUCAAACACAGGUAUUUUAUUUAGUCUACUUUUUCCACUACUUUAUAAAGAACAGAAGUAAAUUUGACAGCACAUGCUAAAUAAAUCAAGAAUAAAUUUGUACAUUUGCUUUAACUAACGGCAUCUACGGUGCAGACACUGUUGUCUUUCCAAAGUCAAACACAGAUGAUCUUUGCCGUUAUCGAGGAAGAUACUACAAGCGUGGAUCUACAGCAUACCUAACUGAAGAUUUAUUUAAACAGAUUGAAUGCAGAUGUGAGGUACCUCCCGACUUCAAAUGUAUCAAGAAAUCUUCCAA